Molecule: ribosomal RNA, 253 nt
Filed under: uncultured bacterium
Lineage: Bacteria
Description: partial 16S ribosomal RNA
Rfam family: Bacterial small subunit ribosomal RNA
Source: RNAcentral
UACGAGGGGGGCGAGCGUUGUUCGGAAUUAUUGGGCGUAAAGGGUGCGUAGGCGGUUCCGCAAGUCCUGUGUGAAAUCUUCGGGCUCAACUCGAAGUCUGCACGGGAAACUGAGGAUCUUGAGUACGGGAGAGGUGAGUGGAACUGCGAGUGUAGAGGUGAAAUUCGUAGAUAUUCGCAAGAACACCAGUGGCGAAGGCGGCUCACUGGCCCGUUACUGACGCUGAGGCACGAAAGCGUGGGGAGCAAACAGG